This 403-nucleotide ribosomal RNA is filed under the name uncultured bacterium. Its description in RNAcentral is "partial 16S ribosomal RNA". It matches the Rfam family "Bacterial small subunit ribosomal RNA", at positions 28 to 526 of the family's 1533-position model. The record is from RNAcentral.
GACGAACGCUGGCGGCGUGCCUAAUACAUGCAAGUCGAACGCAGUGGGGACGGGUGAGUAACACGUGGUUAACCUCCCAUCAGAGGGGAUAACACUUGGAAACAGGUGCUAAACCGAUACUGAUGGAUGGACCCGCGGUGCAUUAGCUACUGGGUGAGGUAACGGCUCACCAAGGCCACGAUGCAUAGCGGGCCUGAGAGGGGGAUCGGCAACACUGGGACGGAGACACGGCCCAGACUCCUACGGGAGGCAGCAGUGGGGAAUCUUGGGCAAUGGACGAAAGUCUGACCGAGCAACGCCGCGUGAGUGAAGAAGGUUUUCGGAUCGUAAAACUCUGUUGUUAGAGAGGCGGUAUCUAACCAGAAAGCAACGGCUAACUACGUGCCAGCCGCCGCGGUAAUUC